Molecule: ribosomal RNA, 223 nt
Filed under: Vibrio alginolyticus
Lineage: Bacteria; Pseudomonadati; Pseudomonadota; Gammaproteobacteria; Vibrionales; Vibrionaceae
Description: partial 23S ribosomal RNA
Rfam family: Bacterial large subunit ribosomal RNA
Source: RNAcentral
CGAAAGGCGUAGUCGAUGGGAAACGGGUUAAUAUUCCCGUACUUCUUACAAUUGCGAUGGGGGGACGGAGAAGGCUAGGUGGGCCUGGCGACGGUUGUCCAGGUUCAAGUGUGUAGGCUGAGAAAUUAGGUAAAUCCGGUUUCUCUUAAGGCUGAGACACGACGUCGAGCUACUACGGUAGUGAAGUCAUUGAUGCCAUGCUUCCAGGAAAAGCCUCUAAGCU